UUUCCGUAGGUGAACCUGCGGAAGGAUCAUUAUUGUGUAACCGAGGUGCGAGGGCUGUCGCUGACCCGAAAGGUCGUGCACGCCCGAGUGCCCUCACACACAUCCAUCUCACCCCUAUGUGCACCACCGCGUGGGUCCCCCUUUGGCUUGUUCGGAGGGGGGCUUACGUUUUCACACAAACUUUGUAUGCAGUGUAGAAUGUAUUUUUUGUUUUUGCGAUCACGCAAUCAAUACGACUUUCAACAACGGAUCUCUUGGCUCUC
This 263-nucleotide unclassified non-coding RNA is filed under the name plant metagenome. RNAcentral's name for it is "partial contains small subunit ribosomal RNA, internal transcribed spacer 1, and 5.8S ribosomal RNA". The record is from RNAcentral.